UGCACGCUUUACAAGUGUUUGUAAGCCGCCAUUACACUAAAAGAAGGAGAUUCCCAGUCUUCCGAUCCGUAAAACUCGCGGAGAGUCGCGUCGCUGCGCUUGUUUACGCCUCCAUACAGUUACAGCGAUUAUGUAAAUGAGGCCAGCGACUGUAAAGUGACUGGUGAGACUAGAAUAUUGUUCGCUCGCGAUGACUGGAAGAUCGUGGACCCCCGAGGCGGAGGAGACCCUGAUCGAGCUCUGGCAGGAGUCUGCAUGUCUGUACGACAUUUCUUCCGCCGAUUACCACAACCGAGAGGAGAAGGACAAACGAUGGAGGGAGGUCGCCGAUGCGCUGCAGAUGCCUACGGAGUCGGUGGCCACCAGGGUGGCAUCUCUGAGGACUCAAUAUGCCAGACUGAGGAAACCGAAAGCAAGCGGGGGCGAGAAGAAGCCCCUCACGAUGAGGCAGCGCUGGCUCCUGAGGGCCCUUGAUUUCCUGAAGCCACACAUCGUUCAUCGGCGACACGAGACCACUCUGGGUUUGCCGUCCUCAGAUAAAGCGGAGGAGACUCUGGACGAGUCGGACGAAAUGUCGCAGGAGACGGAUAAAGAAGUGGACAGUUUCGACUCCAUCAGCGUGUGUCUCUCCCCGAUGCCCGGCACUCCAGACACCGGCAUCCCCGAGGAAACCGCCUCGUACUCGCUGUCUCCCCGGAGCACAUCCGGCAAACGCACGCGCUCCUCCGAAUCCGACAUCGAGCUGCAGAAGCUGGAGGUGUUGAAGCAGAUGUCCGCUAAAGUCCUGGAGAACCCGUCUCCGGACGCCGCCACAGUCUUCUCCAGCCAGGUGGCCAUGGAGUACCGUCUGCUGAGAGACCCCAGCGUCCAGAUGCGCGUCCGCCGGCAGAUCAUGGCUCUCCUCUACGAGGCACAGGAUUCAGAGAGACGUUCCCGACAGUCCAAGAGACACGUACAGAGAGAACUCAAAACUGAGGAGGACGUUACUUGGAUUAACACUAAUAUAUAAAUUGAAAUGUGGUUUUGUUACAGACAGUGUUCGUCUUGUUAAUGCUCUGAUUGUUUUCUACGUUGUACUGAACUAUUUUUCUUAGUGGAAGCUUUGACAUAAUCUACAUGUAAGAUAAUAAAACAAUUUCAGGUUGAUGUCCGUGUAUUAUUUCUGUAGAUGUUAGAUGAUGGAUAAUCAAAACAAGCCCUGACUGUUUUACUAGUAUGAUGUGAAGGGCCAUCAAAUGAUUUUUUGAGUCGAAAUACUGCAUCUGUCCAGAAGGUGGCAGCAUCAUGCAAGUGUACAGUUGAAUUGUUCAUUA
RNAcentral lists this long non-coding RNA (1313 nucleotides) under Sinocyclocheilus anshuiensis. Its description in RNAcentral is "lncRNA (ENSSANG00000028427.1)". The record is from RNAcentral. Lineage: Eukaryota; Metazoa; Chordata; Actinopteri; Cypriniformes; Cyprinidae.